GAAUUUUGGACAAUGGGCGAAAGCCUGAUCCAGCAAUGCCGCGUGCAGGAUGAAGGCCUUCGGGUUGUAAACUGCUUUUGUACGGAACGAAAAGCUUUUGGUUAAUACCCUGGAGUCAUGACGGUACCGUAAGAAUAAGCACCGGCUCACUACGUGCCAGCCGCCGCGGUAAUCCGUAGGGUGCAAGCGUUAAUCGGAAUUACUGGGCGUAAAGCGUGCGCAGGCGGUUUUGUAAGACAGAGGUGAAAGCCCCGGGCUCAACCUGGGAACUGCCUUUGUGACUCCACGGCUCACUUACCGCAGAUGGUGGUGUAAUUCCGCGUGUAGCAGUGAAAUGCGUAGAUAUGCGGAGGAACACCGAUGGCGAAGGCAACCCCCUGGGCCUGUACUGACGCUCAUGCACGAAAGCGUGGGGAGCAAACA
This 423-nucleotide ribosomal RNA is filed under the name uncultured bacterium. RNAcentral's name for it is "partial 16S ribosomal RNA". It matches the Rfam family "Bacterial small subunit ribosomal RNA", at positions 359 to 774 of the family's 1533-position model. The record is from RNAcentral.